AUUGCCAAUAAAAUUUGGUUUGUUUGUUAGCUGGUUCACUAGCAUUCUAUUUCUACCUUUCAUGAAGUAAAUUUUUCUUUCUUUCUCGGUAUCAUUUAUUUAUUUAUUUUUAAAUUUUUGCUCAGGUUGGGGAAUUUUAUGAAGCUUGGGGAAUAAAUGUAUGUAUUCUUGUUGAAUAUGAGGGUUUAAAUCCUUUUGGCGGUCUGCAAUCAGAUAGUAUCCCGAGAGCUGGUUGUCCUGUUGUGGUAUUUUUAUUUUUGUCGGCAAACUUUUAUAUUGAUGCUGCCAUUUGUUUUGGUUAUUUUCUUUUCUCAUCAAAUUUAAUUUUUAUAUUGAUAAUUGUGAAUGAACUUCUUAUAUGUAUAAUAAUCACUUUCUUCCUUUCUUUGGUCAAAGAAUCUUCGACAAACUUUAGAUGAUCGGACACAAAGCGGUUAUUCAGUGUGCCUGCCAUCUUACCAGUCUAUGAGUACAUGCUGCUAAUAAAUUUUGGUCUCAACACUGCAUUGUGGAGGAGGCAGGCUCAGGGCCCAACUCAAGCUCGAUCCAGGAAACGUCUCUUUAUAUCUGGAUUAAAAGAAGGAAGGGGCAUAUGGACAGAGGUUAAGGCAUCAUCCAUAACAGACAGAAAUCCAACUUGAAAUUGAAAAUAAGCAAUAUGGUUAUUGGACAAAUUCAGCUCUGCCCCUUGUUCUCCAGGCCUACUGUGAUGUUGAUUAGGCAUUUAACCUGAGAUGUUGGAAUCUUCACAUAUGUGUCCUGCGUAUUUGUUGGUCCUAACCUAGUCUCUUGGUGGUCUAAGAAACAAACCUUGGUGGCCCAAUGGAGCACGGAGGUAAAGCAUUUCUGUUUGACACGCAACAGAAAAAGUAUUAUGGCUGCAGUCUCUUUUCACAGAACUUGGGGUUGAAUUUACUACACCCACUAUCCUAUGUGCCAAUCUCAGUACUGUGUCACCAGCUCGUAAUCCCUUUCUUCAUGUUAGAACAAAGCAUGUGGGACUUGUCCUAUUAUUUGUAAGGAAGGUGAACAACCAAAGCUUUCAUCUCUAUUAUGUUUCUGCUCUACACAAAUGUACUCACAUUCUAAU
This is a long non-coding RNA of Glycine soja, 1090 nucleotides long. RefSeq lists it as uncharacterized. The record is from RefSeq and is a predicted model, not a curated record. NCBI's taxonomy places the organism in Eukaryota, Viridiplantae, Streptophyta, Magnoliopsida, Fabales, Fabaceae. The transcript is spliced from 4 exons.